AAAAAAGCUAAUCAACAGAGUGGCUUAGAAUCUUAUUCUUGGUAGCUUCUCAAAGGUUCUUGAUCUCUUUCUCAAUAAACUCAAUAGUCAAUCUGUCUUCUUUAUAGUCAAUCCACUCUCAUCUCCUCCGCUCUUCACUCUCCUUCCUGUGUUUCAUUUCACUCUUGUAGCUCUCUCAAAGCCUCUCCCACUUCUCUGCCAUGAAUGGCCCAAAGUAUUCCUAUCCUUAUCCAGCUCAAGGAUAUUACCAAGGGCCACCUGUGAUGGCUCCACCACAAUAUGCUGCUCCACCACCAAGAAGAGAGCUUGGCUUUCUUGAAGGAUGCCUUGCUGCUUUGUGCUGUUGCUGCCUGAUUGAUGAGUGUUGCUGCGACCCAUCCAUAAUAUUCAUCAGCUAAUCGUGCUGUUACUGAAAUGUUCUCAUGUUCUCUGCCUUCUCUAUCAGUGAAGAAUUAAUCAAGCUAUUGGCAGCAGUUGUGAUUGUAAAUAUUUAAUAAAACUAUAUAGAAAUCAAUUAGUACCUCUGUUGUGGAGCAGUUCGAGUGUUGCAACUUUUCUGCUUUGAAAGACUUGAACAGAAUUGUGCAUGAUAAGUCUUGCUGUCUCUAUUGUGGGGCAGUUGAAGUGAUGCAAAUUCCUGCCUUUUUCUGUAAAAAUCAGCAUGGAAAAUCCUACAAUAAUGCAUAUACCAUAAACUUCUCA
Long non-coding RNA from Zingiber officinale, 702 nucleotides. RefSeq lists it as uncharacterized. NCBI's taxonomy places the organism in Eukaryota, Viridiplantae, Streptophyta, Magnoliopsida, Zingiberales, Zingiberaceae. The record is from RefSeq and is a predicted model, not a curated record. The transcript has 3 exons.